AGCGAACGCUGGCGGCAGGCUUAACACAUGCAAGUCGAACGGUCCUUCGGGAUAGUGGCGGACGGGUGAGUAACACGUGGGAACGUACCCUUAGGUUCGGAACAACACAGGGAAACUUGUGCUAAUACCGGAUAAGCCCUUCGGGGGAAAGAUUUAUCGCCUUUGGAGCGGCCCGCGUCUGAUUAGCUUGUUGGUGAGGUAAUGGCUCACCAAGGCUACGAUCAGUAGCUGGUCUGAGAGGAUGGCCAGCCACACUGGGACUGAGACACGGCCCAGACUCCUACGGGAGGCAGCAGUGGGGAAUCUUGCGCAAUGGGCGAAAGCCUGACGCAGCCAUGCCGCGUGGAUGAUGAAGGUCUUAGGAUUGUAAAAUCCUUUCACCGGGGACGAUAAUGACGGUACCCGGAGAAGAAGCCCCGGCUAACUUCGUGCCAGCCGCCGCGGUAA
Molecule: ribosomal RNA, 447 nt
Filed under: uncultured bacterium
Lineage: Bacteria
Description: partial 16S ribosomal RNA
Rfam family: Bacterial small subunit ribosomal RNA
Source: RNAcentral